GACGAACGCUGGCGGCGUGCUUAACACAUGCAAGUCACGGGGGCCCGCAAGGGCAACCGGCGAACGGGUGCGUAACACGUGAACAACCUGCCCUCGUGUGGGGGAUAGCCAUGCUAACGCGUGGGUAAUACCGCAUACGUUCUUUUGGGGGAGUCCCUGGAAGAGGAAAGCUCCGGCGCACGGGGAGGGGUUCGCGGCCUAUCAGCUAGUUGGCGGGGUAAUGGCCCACCAAGGCGACGACGGGUAGCUGGUCGAGAGGA
RNAcentral lists this ribosomal RNA (260 nucleotides) under uncultured bacterium. Its description in RNAcentral is "partial 16S ribosomal RNA". It matches the Rfam family "Bacterial small subunit ribosomal RNA", at positions 28 to 300 of the family's 1533-position model. The record is from RNAcentral.